CGUACACCCAAUGUUUAAUGAGGUUGUAUGCCGAGGAGACACAGACGAUGCUGGCCAACGUAGUUUCAGUUACCGACAGUGACCUUUGUGUAUCACAAAAUAGAAGUCAACAACAGUAUUUCUCAUUGCAGCAUGAGCAACACGCACAGGUAAUGUUGAAGGAAAAUGAUGCAUAAAUCUCACCCAGUGACUCCGGCUGCAGCAUUGCUUCAAACAUGAAUUAUUUCAGGGUUAUCAUCUUCUGUCGCCUCAAUCUCCUUGUCUCCCGUUCUCCCGUGAUCAGCACUCCUCCGGCUCCACUACAGAACGGAGAUCUGAGCUCUGUGUUACACAUGCAGCCGCAGCGAAGACAGCACUCUAGGAUACCAGGAGCACCUCUGGCUGCUGAAUCGCCGACUGGAAACUGGAUCCGUGCUAAAAAUAAAAAAACAUCACCAGCAUAACGAGAAAGGAGGUGUGUCACUCACUGUGUGUAUGCUUGUGUAGGGUCACAGAGGGGCAGCCCACCCCCCAUAUACUCAACACACACACACAUUCACAUACACACAGGUUUAUCAUAUGUCAACAUUUCCUUGAAGUUUCCCCCUCAUGUGCAUGACAGCCUCAAGGUCUUCCUCUCAGCCUCCCGUGGUCACAUGUGUGUCAUUUUCAAGAUUGCUCUGCAGAUUUUUUUUAUUGCCAUUAUCAUUCACAUGCUCACACAAGGUUAAAAGCGGCAAGGACCCUUAUCAAGAGCUCAGUGCUUCACUGUGUCAUCUGGUUACAUCACAUGACAACAUCCCUGACCUCCAGCGCACCCAAAAUACACAAACACACAUGCACAUACACAAGGCUGUCUGGCAGAAAAACAGCACAUGUCCUACCCCUGAACGCUGUACGAGUUAGACAUGUUUAAUUUGAGUUGGCGUGAGACAACGUGUUUCCCUUUAAAAAAUAAAUAAAACAACUCAUUACAUUCAUCACAUCAACACGCAGGCUGUAGCAACCACGUGAAUCUCUCCGUCACGGUUGUCAGCAACACAGCAUGAGGCCUUCAGUCAAUGUCUGUUUUGUCAGCCUUGACUUUAGUGGCCUUGUUUUUCUGGCAGGCUAAACUGGCAUUGGCUGACUUCAAUGGCAGAAAUCAAAACUGAUAAGAUGAGAGAGUACAGUAGGUAAAAGGUUUGAGUAGAUGAAUACGAUGGAAAUGUGUGGGCCCUGCAUGUAAAUGACCAUGGAUUUGUUUUUUGUUUUGUUUUUUUAUUAUCUACGUUGUGUCCUUGUGAGAAGCAGAGAAAUUACAAGACAACUGAAGAACUGACAGAGUCAAAAGUAGAGGUGCCGUCAAAUCAAAGAGAAAAAAACUGACAAAGAAAUGCACAGAGGUUUUCCAAACUGUGAGAGAGGACUAAACAAAGUGGUUGUGCCAAAUAAAUUAGCUUCACAGAACAGAACAAAGCCUAACUAUCCACUGCCUUCAACAACAAACACCGACUUCUCUGAAGAAGAAAAGAGAAAGAAGACAAGGCUGGCACAAACCACACUAACCUGGUGUGUCUAACAAAAGAUCUGUGAGUGCAAAAGUGUACGGAUACCCAAACUUUACCUACGUCCAACUUCCCACCACAAACCUCCUCAGUUACAAACAGCAUGAGCAGCUGACAGUAAGGAUGUCAGAGGGGGAGUGAUGUCUCUGUGGUGUGUCUUAAUUAAGCAUCUACAGGGAAACUGGCAAAGGAGAUGAGACACAGGAUUUCCUCAGACCCCCCUUUAACACUGGGAAUUAGGGAAACUUGCUCCCCUUGAGAGUAAAAGAAAGUGGGGUUAAUGGUGUUUCACUGAAGUCUUCACAGCCUUGACUAAAACUGGUGUUAGCUUUUUAACAAACAAGGUGUUUAGACUGUGUGCACAUGGUGAGGUUAGCUCACUGUGGGACUGCAAAAAGAAAGCUGCAGAAGGAUCCUCAGAAAUAAGCAGGGACAAGCUAACACUUACAUUAUUGUUUUGAUUUUUUUCAUUAUUUUAAUUAUUAUUUUAAUCAUUAUUAUUUUAAUCAUU
Notolabrus celidotus (New Zealand spotty) is the source of this 2037-nucleotide long non-coding RNA. RefSeq lists it as uncharacterized. The record is from RefSeq and is a predicted model, not a curated record. Lineage: Eukaryota; Metazoa; Chordata; Actinopteri; Labriformes; Labridae. The transcript has 3 exons.